RNAcentral lists this ribosomal RNA (244 nucleotides) under uncultured bacterium. RNAcentral's name for it is "partial 16S ribosomal RNA". It matches the Rfam family "Bacterial small subunit ribosomal RNA", at positions 109 to 353 of the family's 1533-position model. The record is from RNAcentral.
AGUAAUGUCUGGGAAACUGCCUGAUGGAGGGGGAGUAACUACUGGAAACGGUAGCUAAUACCGCAUAACGCCGCAAGACCAAAGAGGGGGACCUUCGGGCCUCUUGCCAUCGGAUGUGCCCAGAUGGGAUUAGCUAGUAGGUGGGGUAACGGCUCACCUAGGCGACGAUCCCUAGCUGGUCUGAGAGGAUGACCAGCCACACUGGAACUGAGACACGGUCCAGACUCCUACGGGAGGCAGCAUG